Molecule: long non-coding RNA, 2064 nt
Filed under: Homo sapiens (human)
Lineage: Eukaryota; Metazoa; Chordata; Mammalia; Primates; Hominidae
Description: AGA divergent transcript, transcript variant 7 (AGA-DT)
Source: RNAcentral
AUCCCUGGGCCUGGGCCUACCUAGGUGAAGACAGGCAUUUUUGUUUUCCUGCCCGGAUGUUGCAUUUCCCAAGACCACCCUGGCCUGCCAUGCCCUCAUCCUGUGCCUUUAAAAACCCCCGAGACCCUGGCAGGCAGACGCACAAGCAGCUGGACAUUGAGAGGAGCAUAUAGGCAGAGAAUACAGGGGCUGCUGGAUGUCGAAAGGAACGCACCAGCAUAGGAGCACACCGGCAUGCUGGCAGGCCAUUGACCAGCGGAAGAAUGCAGAGUUUGUCGCGGGAGGUCAGAGAAGAGUCAGGCCGCCAUACCUGACUCCAGGAGAAAACCGUCUCCCUUCUGGUUCCCCCGUCUGCCGAGAGCUACUUCCACUCAAUAAAACUUUCCACUCAUUCUUCAAGCCCACGUGUGAUCCAAUUCUUCCCGUACACCAAGGUCUCGCUGUGUUUCCCAGGCUGGGUGCAGUGGCUAUUCAAAGGUACAAUGAUAGCUCACUGCAGCCUGGAACUCCUGGACUCAAGCGAUCCUCCUGCCUCAGCUGCGACUAACAGGUCAAAACAGUCACAAGCCUGCUCAAAUUCGGAAAGAGGGGACGGAAAUGGAACCUCUUCAUGGGAGGAAGAAUUGGAAAAAUGAAUGUAAUUUGACAUAUGUCUUGAGUCUGGUUGGCUUCUGAGGAACUUGUGUGCAUCUCAUCAGUAUGCAUCUUAAGAACUGAAAUGACCCUACUUCAGCAUUGUGAGAAGACAUGCAUUCUCUUCGUAUAAAUAAUGUGGAUCUUACAUGUAAAGUAUUAUAAAGAUUAGCUGUUUAACAACUUAAAUAAGCUUGUGAAUAAUAAAUUAAUAACAAUGUUAUGCUAAUACGUAACUAUGAUAUUUGCUGAACAAAAUAAAUUUGCCUACUUUGGAAGCAGAUUGGGUGGUUUAAUAUAUCAGCAAAAGAGUGUUUUUAAAAAAUAUCAAAGUUCUGUUAAUCAAAACGUUUAUUGUAGGACAGUUAGUAAUGUUUUGUUUGCCAACUUAUAUUACAAAGUCUCUGUCUUAAGUGUUUCCUUGCAAAUAAAAUGACAAUACUGCCUUACAUUUUAUUACUUUAGAGUUUGCAAAAUAUCUUCAUUAUAAUAUUUCAUUUAGUAGACAUGCCUAUGGGAACAUUACUUCCAGAAUUAAAAACAUUAUUUUUGUUUUGGUAUAUUUUUAAACUACAAAUGAUAGAAAGGCAAGUAAAUGUAAGUUUUUCUCUAGUUAUUUGUUCAAAUGCUAAUUUAAAACAUUUGUACAUUUCUAAUACAAACAUUCCUUAUUUGAGAAAAAAUGGAUUUCUUAAAAACAAAAUGCAUUUUAAAGCAGAGAGACAGGGCAUUGAGCUGAAAAUGGUGGCUGGAAGUUGGGAUCUGUAAGAGAAGUUGAAUGUGCCCCGAGGCAUAAAGCUGCUAAUUUUGUUUUAUUGGAUUUUACUGUAGCUAUUAAUAUAUUUUGCUGGAGAUUUAUGUGAUCAAUUUAUCUUAUGGCCAGAACUAAUUCCCUUAGUAUAUUUUAUUAGAAUAUGUGACUUUUUCUAAAUUUAGCUUUAUUUUUCAUAUUUUCCAUAAAUGGCAAAGAUUCUAUGUUUCCAGACAUGUUAAGUAUUGCAAGAAUUAUUGGAGCACCUAAAGAUAAAUAAUAUCAAAAUAGUGUCAUUGUUUCCCUUAGUUUCUCCUUCUCCCCCACAAAUAAACCAAGAGGUAUUUAGUUAUACUAUUGCAUGUCUCUAGCUUUAUUGGAUUCUUCCAUGAAAGAAAAAUGGAUUACAUUUUUGGUUGUGUGGCCCUCGUUGCCCUAUUGCACUUUUGAUAAUAUUUGCCUGUGACAAGUAGUUAUUUUUCAUUACCACAUUCAAUCAUGGGUAAUAAAAUAUUUUAAUAAUGGUGAAUGUGAAGUUAAUUAAUAACCCGCAGGUAUGGCAGCUAGACAGGAUUGCUCUCCAUCUCAAACACAAGGAAAACAAUUCCAUCGGUAGUUAUAAAUUUGCAUAUGAAUGUCAAAUAUAUGAGGUUUUGAAUAAAAAUCAUUUCUGAGUAAAA